Molecule: ribosomal RNA, 253 nt
Filed under: uncultured bacterium
Lineage: Bacteria
Description: partial 16S ribosomal RNA
Rfam family: Bacterial small subunit ribosomal RNA
Source: RNAcentral
UACAGAGGGGGCAAGCGUUACUCGGAAUUAUUGGGCGUAAAGGGCGCGUAGGCGGCCUGGCAAGUGACGGGUGAAAGCCCUCGGCUCAACCGAGGAACUGCCUGUCAUACUGCCGGGCUUGAGUCCGGGAGAGGUGAGUGGAAUUCCCAGUGUAGCGGUGAAAUGCGUAGAUAUUGGGAGGAACACCAGUGGCGAAGGCGGCUCACUGGACCGGAACUGACGCUGAGGCGCGAAAGCGUGGGGAGCAAACAGG